Molecule: non-coding RNA, 45 nt
Filed under: Schistosoma mansoni
Lineage: Eukaryota; Metazoa; Platyhelminthes; Trematoda; Strigeidida; Schistosomatidae
Source: RNAcentral
AUCCGGCUGACGAGUCCCUAAUAAGACGAAAGGCUCGUCCUGGAU